Molecule: ribosomal RNA, 1055 nt
Filed under: uncultured Bacteroides sp.
Lineage: Bacteria; Pseudomonadati; Bacteroidota; Bacteroidia; Bacteroidales; Bacteroidaceae
Description: bacterial SSU rRNA
Rfam family: Bacterial small subunit ribosomal RNA
Source: RNAcentral
GCUUAACAUGCAAGUCGAACGGGGUGUUUAUUUCGGUAAACACCAAGUGGCGAACGGGUGAGUAACGCGUAAGCAAUCUACCUUCAAGAUGGGGACAACACUUCGAAAGGGGUGCUAAUACCGAAUGAAUGUAAGAGUAUCGCAUGAGACACUUACUAAAGGAGGCCUCUGAAAAUGCUUCCGCUUGAAGAUGAGCUUGCGUCUGAUUAGCUAGUUGGUGAGGGUAAAGGCCCACCAAGGCGACGAUCAGUAGCCGGUCUGAGAGGAUGAACGGCCACAUUGGGAUUGAGACACGACCCAGACUCCUACGGGAGGCAGCAGUGGGGAAUCUUCCGCAAUGGGCGAAAGCCUGACGGAGCAACGCCGCGUGAACGAUGAAGGUCUUAGGAUCGUAAAGUUCUGUUGUUAGGGACGAAGGGCAAGGGUUAUAAUACAGCCUUUGUUUGACGGUACCUAACGAGGAAGCCACGGCUAACUACGUGCCAGCAGCCGCGGUAAUACGUAGGCGGCAAGCGUUGUCCGGAAUUAUUGGGCGUAAAGGGAGCGCAGGCGGGAAACUAAGCGGAUCUUAAAAGUGCGGGGCUCAACCCCGUGAUGGGGUCCGAACUGGUUUUCUUGAGUGCAGGAGAGGAAAGCGGAAUUCCCAGUGUAGCGGUGAAAUGCGUAGAUAUUGGGAAGAACACCAGUGGCGAAGGCGGCUUUCUGGACUGUAACUGACGCUGAGGCUCGAAAGCUAGGGUAGCGAACGGGAUUAGAUACCCCGGUAGUCCUAGCCGUAAACGAUGGAUACUAGGUGUGGGAGGUAUCGACCCCUUCCGUGCCGGAGUUAACGCAAUAAGUAUCCCGCCUGGGGAGUACGGCGCAAGGUUGAAACUCAAAGGAAUUGACGGGGGCUCGCACAAGCGGUGGAGUAUGUGGUUUAAUUCGACGCAACGCGAAGAACCUUACCAGACUUGACAUUGAUGAAGACUAGAGAUAGUCCCUCUCUCGAGAACAAGAAAACAGGUGGUGCAUGCUGUCGUCAGCUCGUGUCGUGAGAUGUUGGUUAAGUUCCG